This 617-nucleotide ribosomal RNA is filed under the name Bradyrhizobium sp. STM 1471. RNAcentral's name for it is "bacterial SSU rRNA". It matches the Rfam family "Bacterial small subunit ribosomal RNA", at positions 897 to 1511 of the family's 1533-position model. The record is from RNAcentral. Lineage: Bacteria; Pseudomonadati; Pseudomonadota; Alphaproteobacteria; Hyphomicrobiales; Nitrobacteraceae.
AAACUCAAAGGAAUUGACGGGGGCCCGCACAAGCGGUGGAGCAUGUGGUUUAAUUCGACGCAACGCGCAGAACCUUACCAGCCCUUGACAUGUCCAGGACCGGUCGCAGAGACGUGACCUUCUCUUCGGAGCCUGGAACACAGGUGCUGCAUGGCUGUCGUCAGCUCGUGUCGUGAGAUGUUGGGUUAAGUCCCGCAACGAGCGCAACCCCCGUCCUUAGUUGCUACCAUUUAGUUGAGCACUCUAAGGAGACUGCCGGUGAUAAGCCGCGAGGAAGGUGGGGAUGACGUCAAGUCCUCAUGGCCCUUACGGGCUGGGCUACACACGUGCUACAAUGGCGGUGACAAUGGGAAGCGAAGACGCAAGUCCUAGCAAAUCUCAAAAAGCCGUCUCAGUUCGGAUUGGGCUCUGCAACUCGAGCCCAUGAAGUUGGAAUCGCUAGUAAUCGUGGAUCAGCACGCCACGGUGAAUACGUUCCCGGGCCUUGUACACACCGCCCGUCACACCAUGGGAGUUGGCUUUACCUGAAGACGGUGCGCUAACCAGCAAUGGAGGCAGCCGGCCACGGUAGGGUCAGCGACUGGGGUGAAGUCGUAACAAGGUAGCCGUAGGGGAAC